UACGGAGGGGGCGAGCGUUAUUCGGAAUUAUUGGGCGUAAAGGGCGCGUAGGCGGCUGUACAAGUCAAAGGUGAAAUCCCUCGACUCAACUGAGGAACUGCCUUUGAAACUGUACGGCUUGAGGCCGGGAGGGGGUAGCGGAAUUCCCAGUGUAGCGGUGAAAUGCGUAGAUACUGGGAGGAACACCAGUGGCGAAGGCGGCUACCUGGACCGGUUCUGACGCUGAGGCGCGAAAGCGUGGGUAGCAAACAGG
Molecule: ribosomal RNA, 253 nt
Filed under: uncultured bacterium
Lineage: Bacteria
Description: partial 16S ribosomal RNA
Rfam family: Bacterial small subunit ribosomal RNA
Source: RNAcentral